CCAAUUGCUUUUUAAUAUUUUUUGGUGUAUAAUACCUUCGUCCUUGUUGGACUAUGGUGAUAAACGUUAUGAUAAAUAGGCGACGUGGACUCGGGGGCGGAGCCCGACAUCUCCACCAUGAGGGGAUGAAUAGGUUCGACACGCGUUGAAAAACAUAAUUUUUACCCGGGGCGGUUUACGUUAUCAAACCAAAAUUAUAAAUGCGAACGCUGAAUUGCGCGCAUGCAACGAUAAUUGGCAGGAAGAGCAAAUGCGGAUUGCUGCCUAAUUGAGUGGACGCGGUUUAGGGGAGCCGGGCAACAGAAAUCCCCUGCU
RNAcentral lists this transfer-messenger RNA (315 nucleotides) under Holosporaceae bacterium. It matches the Rfam family "Alphaproteobacteria transfer-messenger RNA". From Rfam's summary of the family: Bacterial tmRNA, also known as 10Sa RNA or SsrA, is named for its dual tRNA and mRNA-like properties. Its role is to liberate the mRNA from a stalled ribosome. Lineage: Bacteria; Pseudomonadati; Pseudomonadota; Alphaproteobacteria; Holosporales; Holosporaceae. The record is from RNAcentral.